Molecule: ribosomal RNA, 253 nt
Filed under: uncultured bacterium
Lineage: Bacteria
Description: partial 16S ribosomal RNA
Rfam family: Bacterial small subunit ribosomal RNA
Source: RNAcentral
GACGGAGGAUGCAAGCGUUGUCCGGAUUUAUUGGGUUUAAAGGGUGCGUAGGCGGCUCUGUAAGUCAGUGCUGAAAUAUCCCGGCUUAACUGGGAGGGUGGCAUUGAUACUGUGGAGCUAGAGUACAGAUGAGGUAGGCGGAAUUGACGGUGUAGCGGUGAAAUGCUUAGAUAUCGUCAAGAACACCUAUAGCGAAGGCAGCUUACUAGGCUGUAACUGACGCUGAGGCACGAAAGUGUGGGGAUCAAACAGG